GCUGGGCCCAGUACAGGCAGUGUGGUCUCCUCAUCUUCCGGUCCAAGUAAUGCUAGACGCAGCACAGACAGUUGCAGCAGAGCCAACUGUAGUGGAGGAAGCCUUAUCAGACCUCAGGAAAGCUGAAUGAGCGCCUCAGCCAACAACUCUCUCGGAUCAAGAAGUUGGGAGGGACGCAAAUUAAAUAAUUUCCAUUAUUAAACAGAGAAUUAUUACUCCCCUCUGGUAAAACUUAGACCUAGGCCAAGAUUACUAUUUCUGGCAAUGUUUGUAUCAGGAAGGAACUUUCACAGAUUUAAUGGGACCUGCGCCAUUGUACAUGGCCUUCUGUAUGGCAUGGUGCCAUCAUUUCCACAGCAAAAAAAAAAAAGUUAGGGAGUUAUCCAAAGUGAAUUGAAAACAGGAUUGUCCCGUUUAUAUGACCCCAAAUGUGGCUUUUAUUAUAUUCAAUAAUAUUUGAAUCAGUUCUGUUCAAUAGGCCCCCAUGUUAUGAGGGAAACCGGCUCUCCACAUGUGUGAAAAGAUCUAGAGACGUCUUUGAGGAUUGUUUCAGGGUGUCUGUCCAGCCAAUGGUGCAACAAACAUCAAUUGUCUGUGUUAUGUCUGUGGUCCAUAUGCGUAAUCCCAUAAACUCUGUGGUAGGGGUGUGACACAGACUAGCACAUCAAAUACAUCCCCACAAUAGGCCUCUGUAGACUAUUAGGACAUAGACUCAACUAUCCAGGUUUUUAAUCUGAUAGGGGAGAGCUCUUCAUUUGUUCCUGUAUGUGUGAUGAGAACAUCAUCUAAAUGCAUCAGGACCCUUUGGGAGACUUUAUUUUAUUUUAUGCUGGAUAUUUGGAGGCCUAUCCAUGUUGAUCUGUUGCUAAGGGCCCGGCCAAGAGGAGAGGAGCUAGUUCCUCGGAUACAGUGGCCUGGGAGCCCCAGCUGCCCAUCAGUGGAGAUGG
Long non-coding RNA from Coregonus clupeaformis (lake whitefish), 947 nucleotides. RefSeq lists it as uncharacterized. NCBI's taxonomy places the organism in Eukaryota, Metazoa, Chordata, Actinopteri, Salmoniformes, Salmonidae. The transcript is spliced from 2 exons. The record is from RefSeq and is a predicted model, not a curated record.